CUCGUAGGCGGCCAACUAAGUCCGACGUGAAAUCCCAAAGCUUAACUUUGGAACUGCGUCGGAUACUGGAUGGCUUGAAUUCGGGAGAGGGAUGCAGAAUUCCAGGUGUAGCGGUGAAAUGCGUAGAUAUCUGGAGGAAUACCGGUGGCGAAGGCGGCAUCCUGGACCGACAUUGACGCUGAUGAGCGAAAGCUAGGGGAGCAAACG
RNAcentral lists this ribosomal RNA (207 nucleotides) under uncultured bacterium. RNAcentral's name for it is "partial 16S ribosomal RNA". It matches the Rfam family "Bacterial small subunit ribosomal RNA", at positions 568 to 774 of the family's 1533-position model. The record is from RNAcentral.